RNAcentral lists this ribosomal RNA (253 nucleotides) under uncultured Lactobacillus sp. RNAcentral's name for it is "partial 16S ribosomal RNA". It matches the Rfam family "Bacterial small subunit ribosomal RNA", at positions 524 to 776 of the family's 1533-position model. The record is from RNAcentral. Lineage: Bacteria; Bacillati; Bacillota; Bacilli; Lactobacillales; Lactobacillaceae.
UACGUAGGUGGCAAGCGUUGUCCGGAUUUAUUGGGCGUAAAGCGAGUGCAGGCGGUUCAAUAAGUCUGAUGUGAAAGCCUUCGGCUCAACCGGAGAAUUGCAUCAGAAACUGUUGAACUUGAGUGCAGAAGAGGAGAGUGGAACUCCAUGUGUAGCGGUGGAAUGCGUAGAUAUAUGGAAGAACACCAGUGGCGAAGGCAGCUCACUGGACUGCAACUGACACUGAGGCUCGAAAGUGUGGGUAUCAAACAGG